RNAcentral lists this transfer RNA (67 nucleotides) under Curculionoidea sp. 2 KM-2015. RNAcentral's name for it is "tRNA-Ser". Lineage: Eukaryota; Metazoa; Arthropoda; Insecta; Coleoptera. The record is from RNAcentral. RNAcentral also lists the same sequence under 1 other name.
GAAUUAUGAGAUCCAGAAAAAAGCUUCUAACUUUAUUUCUAAGCAGUGAAACUCUGUUUUUAAUUCU